This 26-nucleotide non-coding RNA is filed under the name Cricetulus griseus (Chinese hamster). Lineage: Eukaryota; Metazoa; Chordata; Mammalia; Rodentia; Cricetidae. The record is from RNAcentral.
AACACUGACUGUAUAGAAAGAGGAGG